ACCUCUAUAAAUGGAUUGUGCUGUGUCCAACUCAAUGACUGUGAAACCUUUGUGGGAUAGAGCUUAGUGGAUCGUUAUGUGGUAAUAGAAUAGCACGGUCAAUCAUGUGAGCAAACCUCCCACUUAACUUGGAACUUGUGCCUUGAGAGUUUACUUGUUGUGUGAACACUGACAAAUUUUGAAAUUUGAAUAUCCCAUCAGAUCAUAACAAAGGCAUAUCUCCAUGCGCUCAUAUCAUAUCUUAGCAUGUUGCCAUGCACACAUAUCUCAUCAGAAGCUUGUUUCCAUACACACAUAUCUCAUCAGAAGCAUGUUGUCGUGCACACAUAUCUCAUUAGAAGCAUGUUUCCAUACACACAUAUGCACACAUAUCUUAUCAGAAACAUGUUACCAUGCACACAUACCUUAUCAGAGGCAUGUUGCCAUGCACACAUAUCUUAUCACAAGCAUGUCUCAUAUGUAAUCUCAAGAAACAUCAACAUUUCUAUAUCAUACAUAUAGUCACAAGGGACAUCACUAUGUCAUACUAUCAUGCAUAUAAAUUCAAAAGACUUUAUUAUGUCAAUUGCGGGCCAUAUAUCAAUGUAGUAGAUAUCAGGAAACAACAAUAUCGUAUUUUCAAAAUAUUCUUAAAUUCAUUAAUAUGAAUUCAUAUGAAGCAAUUCAUAGUAAUUACUUGCACAUAACACUUGCACAUAACAUUUGUAUUUACACAUAACACUUGCUCAUAACACGUGCAUAUAACACUUGUACAUAACACGUGCACAUAACCCUUGUACAUAACACAUGCACAUAACACUUUUACAUAAUACGUGCACAUAUGUACAUAACAUUUGCAUAUACUUGCAUAUAACAUUUACAGUAUCUAGAAUUUAUGCUGCAAGUAUUACAAUUAAAUACAGAAAUACAUAGAACUUGCAGUUUUGGAAAUAUUACAAUUAAAUGUAGAAAUAUCUCUGGGAUUAUUAUAAAAAUAUCAAUUUUCUUCGAACAAUGAUUUUAUAGGAACAAUGAAGCCACUUACCCAUAAAACUUACGAUAUUUAAAAGGUUUUGGGUUUUCAGUUGACACCAACGAUAGCCCAAGAUUCCCACCAUGGAGGAAAAAGGUUUUGGGUUUUCAGUGGGAUGGUUUCAAAAUGCAUGCAGAGAGAAAGAGAAGGCUGAGGAGAUUAAAAUUGGAGAGAGAUUGAGAGGAGAUUAAAAUAGGAGAGAGAGAGCUUCUUUUUCUUUUUUUUUGUAACAAAUGGUACACCUCAGUGCAAGGUGUCUUAUAAACAAUAGAGUGGGGUGUAAAGCUGCCACAAGGUGCUACAAAACAAAAGCGUCAUGUAAAAACAUCAAAUAGAGAGUGGUGGACCUAAGGUCCACCGCAAUGAAAAUGAACCAUCAAAUGUUAAGAAAUAGUUUAUCAAUAAAUUAUGGUAUAUUAACAAUAAUAUCGCAUUAUUUAUAUUAACAAUAUAGAAUUAGUAAUAUAUUAACAGUACAUUAUAGAUUUAUUAUAAUUUAGGGUCAUCAUAAGACCUCCUUGAAUGAAUGUCAAAUCAUGGUGAUCCAAGCAAGCAGUACCUCACUCCAUGACCAGGCUUGAAAGUUCUCAAGCAACCAUGACGUUAACUCCACCAUCAUUACCUACCCUCCUCUUUAUUCUUGACCACAACCCCUUCGUCCCAUUUCCUAAAUCAGAAGACAUUCUGUUCCCCACGUAAAUUAGAGUUCGAGAUAGAAAUAUGAUUAACAUGUUAUAAGACAUUAUUCUGGAAUUUGCAUUACCAGGGUUUAAUUAACUUGUAAUCAAUCUGUUCAUGUAUGUCACAAUCCGUAUUGAGAUUGCUCAUUAGAAACAUUGAGUCUAUAGUAGCUUGAAGAAUAGUGAGGCUGUUUAGGGUCUUCCACUGCAUAGUUGCACCUCUCCCAAAAAGUUUGCUAGUUUGAAGAGCAGACCUUAAUUCAGGUACAAGUUUGGUAAAAUUGAACUCCAAACAUAAAUGAAUUUCACAAAUAAUGCACGAGAUAACUAAAUUUGAAGAACUACAAUCCCUACAAAAGGGCUUCUUAGACAAAAAAUGAGACACAAUGUCACAAUAUCUUGUCCAAUUCAAUUUGCAUGAAUGCUG
This 2119-nucleotide long non-coding RNA is filed under the name Amborella trichopoda. RNAcentral describes it as "long non-coding RNA (ATRI_LNC002953)". Lineage: Eukaryota; Viridiplantae; Streptophyta; Magnoliopsida; Amborellales; Amborellaceae. The record is from RNAcentral.